AGACGCUUACGGGCUUCAUUCAUGGGCCGAAAUUGUAGCUAAACGGGCCAAGGCCCAAGAUUCAACAAAACAAAAGGGGAGGGGGUAGUAUCGUCAUUUCACAAGAAACUGUAGAGCCUCCACAAAAUUGGAAGUUUGGAUCCGUUUCAAUCCCAAGUACCCGAUCCGAUUUGGACGACGACACGCUUCUGUGCUCCAACAAUGCUAUUACCAUAUGGAUUUACCAUGGAUCAUUAUCUUUCGCUGUUGGUGGGAUUGCUUCUUUCAUGCUGUUCUUGUGCUAGCAGCAAGAACAUGUCCACUGGGAAUAGAAGCCACAGUUUUUCCAACUCUCAUGUCUUAUAGCAACAGAGGGAGCCUUCUUGGAAGUCUGAUCGGUGCUCUGCUUUGACUCAGCUCUUUGGUGUCACUCAUGAUAGAUUUGAAUUUUUAACCUCUCUAGAAAUCUUGUGCAAUCUGAGCUCAGUGUUCAAUCUGAGCUCAGUGUUGCCUUGACUAUAACAGCCCAAGCUCACUGUUAGCAUAUAUUGUCCUCUUUAGAACACGUUUAAGGU
Molecule: long non-coding RNA, 554 nt
Organism: Cucurbita maxima (winter squash)
Lineage: Eukaryota; Viridiplantae; Streptophyta; Magnoliopsida; Cucurbitales; Cucurbitaceae
Exons: 3
Source: RefSeq, a predicted model, not a curated record